This 739-nucleotide ribosomal RNA is filed under the name uncultured soil bacterium. RNAcentral's name for it is "bacterial SSU rRNA". It matches the Rfam family "Bacterial small subunit ribosomal RNA", at positions 64 to 794 of the family's 1533-position model. The record is from RNAcentral.
GAGGGGCAGCAGCUUUAUAGCAAUAUAGAGGCUGGCGACCGGCAAACGGGUGCGGAACACGUACACAACCUUCCUUGAAUAGGGGGAUAGCCCAUAGAAAUGUGGAUUAAUACCCCGUAAUAUAGCGGUGUGGCAUCACACUGUUAUUAUAGUUUCGGCGAUUCGAGAUGGGUGUGCGGCUGAUUAGGUAGUUGGCGGGGUAAAGGCCCACCAAGCCUUCGAUCAGUAGCUGAUGUGAGAGCAUGAUCAGCCACACGGGCACUGAGACACGGGCCCGACUCCUACGGGAGGCAGCAGUAAGGAAUAUUGGUCAAUGGACGCAAGUCUGAACCAGCCAUGCCGCGUGAAGGAUGAAGGUCCUCUAGAUUGUAAACUUCUUUUAUAGGGGGCGAAAAAAGGUCUUUCUAGAUCACUUGACAGUACCCUAUGAAUAAGCACCGGCUAACUCCGUGCCAGCAGCCGCGGUAAUACGGAGGGUGCAAGCGUUAUCCGGAUUCACUGGGUUUAAAGGGUGCGUAGGCGGGUAGGUAAGUCAGAGGUGAAAUCCUGGAGCUUAACUCCAGAACUGCCUUUGAUACUAUCUAUCUUGAAUAUGGUGGAGGUAAGCGGAAUAUGUCAUGUAGCGGUGAAAUGCAUAGAUAUGACAUAGAACACCUAUUGCGAAGGCAGCUUACUACGCCUAUAUUGACGCUGAGGCACGAAAGCGUGGGGAUCAAACAGGAUUAGAUACCCUGGUAGU